AUGAACGCUGGCGGCGUGCUUAACCCAUGCAAGUCGCACGGUGAACACGGAGCUUGCUCUGUGGGAUCAGUGGCGAACGGGUGAGUAACACGUGAGCAACCUGCCCCUGACUCUGGGAUAAGCGCUGGAAACGGCGUCUAAUACUGGAUAUGUGACGUGACCGCAUGGUCUGCGUUUGGAAAGAUUUUUCGGUUGGGGAUGGGCUCGCGGCCUAUCAGCUUGUUGGUGAGGUAAUGGCUCACCAAGGCGUCGACGGGUAGCCGGCCUGAGAGGGUGACCGGCCACACUGGGACUGAGACACGGCCCAGACUCCUACGGGAGGCAGCAGUGGGGAAUAUUGCACAAUGGGCGCAAGCCUGAUGCAGCAACGCCGCGUGAGGGAUGACGGCCUUCGGGUUGUAAACCUCUUUUAGCAGGGAAGAAGCGAAAGUGACGGUACCUGCAGAAAAAGCGCCGGCUAACUACGUG
Molecule: ribosomal RNA, 468 nt
Filed under: uncultured bacterium
Lineage: Bacteria
Description: partial 16S ribosomal RNA
Rfam family: Bacterial small subunit ribosomal RNA
Source: RNAcentral